CUGGGCCCCUGUCAGCUCCCCAGGAGCAGUGCGUGCUGUGGAGGAGCCCUCCUGGUCAAGGCCAGAGACCAAAGGAAAGCCGUGCACAAACUCAGACCCAUGUCAGAAAGGAGUUUCCCCCAACCCUGGUGGAAAAGAGAAUACCACGGAAAACGCUUCUUCUCCCGGUUCCUAGAGAAGCUGCAUGCAGGGGCUCUCCUUCAAGAGUGUGCAUUCUUUGAUGAAAGUACAAGGAAAGAAGAACAAAGUCACUAAGUGAAAAUUGUUAUUGUUCCCACCACCAGUCCAGGAGCCCAGCAGGCCCUUGGGUAUGGAACCG
Molecule: long non-coding RNA, 319 nt
Filed under: Equus caballus (horse)
Lineage: Eukaryota; Metazoa; Chordata; Mammalia; Perissodactyla; Equidae
Description: lncRNA (ENSECAG00000052442.1)
Source: RNAcentral